ACACCGACUCGCCAGCCAGC
Molecule: unclassified non-coding RNA, 20 nt
Filed under: Mus musculus (house mouse)
Lineage: Eukaryota; Metazoa; Chordata; Mammalia; Rodentia; Muridae
Description: oocyte_clustered_small_RNA11438
Source: RNAcentral